This is a long non-coding RNA of Humulus lupulus (European hop), 4351 nucleotides long. RefSeq lists it as uncharacterized. Lineage: Eukaryota; Viridiplantae; Streptophyta; Magnoliopsida; Rosales; Cannabaceae. The record is from RefSeq and is a predicted model, not a curated record. The transcript has 4 exons.
GCGGGUGGGGGGGUCUCGGGUCUGGGCUUGAUGGCGCAGGGGGGUCGAGGUCAGGGUGUACAACGGCAGGGGGCUCGGGGCUGGGCUCGACGGCAAUGAAUGGUGGCUCGGGGGCAGUUUUGAGCAAUUCUGUAUCAAUUUGACAAAUGAAAAACUACAGCAACAUUUUAAUCAGCAUGUCUUCAAGAUGGAGCAAGAAGAAUAUACAAAAUAAGAAAUUGACUGGAGUUAUAUAGAGUUUAUUGACAAUCAAGAUGUUCUUGAUCUCAUUGAAAAGAAACCUGGAGGAAUCAUUGCUCUUCUGGAUGAGGCGUGGAAACUGGUGCCCUUCAGGCUGCCAAAAAUAAGCUGGAAAAGCAAGUUGAAGAAUUGACCUGGCGUCUACAGCUAGAGAAGCGAAUGAGGGUAAGCUUUGCUUCUUCUUUUCUAAUUUUUAUUUUAGAUUAUUUUUCUGCUUUUAUAUUUCCAGUUGUUAUCUUCCUAGAGAUUAAUUGAUAUUUAUGGUACUUGUAUCAUGUUUGAUUGAUAUGAUUUGAUUGAGUUUGAUACUUUUACCAUGUGUUUUGGCUAUGUAAUUUAGAAAACAUAUUAAAAAGAUUAAUUCAACUACCAAUUUUAUCCACUUAGCAUGUGAUAAUUUUGAUAUUCCACUGCUCUGAGAAUAUUUGAAAAAUGUUAUACUCCAAAUCCAAAACUAAUACUAAUCCAAAAGAAAAAAAAAAGAACAGAAUAAGUAAAGAAUAAAUGAAUUACCUAAUGUAUAAUAACAAGAGUGGGCAGUAACCAAACAAAUUAAGAACUGAAACAAUUGCAGAAAUGGAGCACCUGAUUUUUUUUUAGGUACCAUUUAAUCUAUAUAAUAUACAUGGAUAUAUACAUGUAACAUCAGCCAUACAUUAUAUAUCAAUGAAAAAUUGAAAAUAAAUCUCUUGUUUCAUAUCAGGCAAUGAGUCUAUAUUCCACAGUAUUACUAUCUGCUAUUGAUAUUUGAUUUCCAUGUCCAGGAGAGGAUAUUUUUGUAUGCAUCUGUUUGGCAAUCUUGAUAUUAUUAUUUGAUGACGAGGGUGAAAAUAACUUAAUAGCUUGUUGCUAAAUUCUUAUUUUCUUUCCCAAUUACCAUGAGCCUAGUUCAUAGCUCCUACUAGUUUUUCUUCUGGGUUUAUUCUGGCUAUAUAGUGGCUGUAGUUAAGGUGUUUGGUCAAAGGCAGAUCUCUUUAAUGCUUUAAAUUUUGUUAUCUAUAAUUCUGUAAAUUCGCUUGUAUUCGGACCAAUUGCAGCGGCGCAGGAAGGGACUCCUCCAACAGGUUCUGUCAGCUCUCUUCUUUCUUUGUAUUCAACUUUUUCUUUGUUAUUAUCGAAUUGAUUAGAAGCUGAAAUAGUUAUUAUUGAGAAGAUUGAAUGCUGAAAUAGAUAAUAUAGAAUUGAGCAGUGGGUUUAUACUUUAUAUUUUUGUGAGUAAUUGAUGUGGUUACUAGUUUAUAUAUUGCUUAAUAUCUUGUUUCCACUUGAGAAGAUUCAUUUGGACAUUUGGUUUCAAAUCUUUUAUUUUGCUCAGAUUUUCAUUUUUAAAGCACACAAGUGUUUGGCAAAAUGUGUCGGAGAAUAUUAAGAAUAUUUGAUGUUUUGAACUUAUUGUUUAUUUCACAAAAUGUCUCAGAGAAUUAUAAGCAUAUUUUAAAUAUACCCGAAAUAUACGUUGGUUUGGUUGAACACUAUAAUAUACAUGUGUACCUAUAAGAUACAAAAUAAACAUAUAAGAAUCUGAUCUCACUUGGCUAGUGGUUGCUCAUUUUUUUGUUCUGUUACCAGAAAUUAUAUUUGGACAUGGAAGUAGUGUGUUCGAAAGUUUCAAACUUUGGAGUCUUUUGGCUUUUAUUGAUUGUUGCUUUUAUUAGUAGGCAGAAGUUAGGCCAUGUAGAUAUUGUUGGGGGCUACUAUUUGGUCAGAAGGCACAGACAAAAAAAUUAUUAACUUAGUGUGGUAAUGCAAUUAGAUAUAUUGUUUCCUGUGCCUUCUAUUUAGAGGCUCGUACUAUCAGGGGGCUUGGGGCUGGGCUACAACAUAUAUAAUAUAUAGAUAGUUGGUGGUGACUCUUCUACAUGCACAUAAAUAUUAUAAAGAUUGUAGGUAUAAAUAUAUGUAUAUAUAUUUAUAUUAGUUUUUUGUCAAAAUGUAAUCCAUCUUUGCAUUUUGAAAAUACAUAAACUAAGUUAUGAUUUAGUUUUCUAUGUAUUUUAGGUGGACAAGCUAAGCAUUUGACUCAACCCAAGGCUGAGAAGAAAGAGUAAGAUGAGCAUUUGGUUUUUCUCUUCUUUGCAUUAUUAUUUAAUGAUUUAAUUCAGAUUUGACUCACUUUCAUUAUAUUAUAACAUUGUAAAUGUGUGUAUGUGCUGAGACAGACUUCAAAGAAACUAUUUUGCAACAGUUUGCAAGAGGUAUGCUUCUAACUUUUAUUUUAAUACUAUGCAAAUGUUAGAGGAGUUUGAAUAUCUUAAAAAUUCAUCCAUAGUGAAGUAGGUUAUGAGAUUGUUACUGUGUGCUGCGGUGAUAACGGAAGGUUGAGAACUUGUGUGUUUUAGUGAAGUAGGAUCUGAGAAAUUUGUGUGCUGCGGAGAUAAGAAAGAAAACUUGUGUGUUGUUUGAAUUGAUGUAGACUUGUCUAUGAUCAUCCUAUAAUUGAAUUGUGUUUGUUUGAUUGGUUUGAUUAUAACAUAUACUUGUAUGAAUGUACAUAUUGUGUGUUGGCAUAUGCAUAUAGCAUAACCUUUUGUAUUUCUUGUUUUGUAUAUGUUAGUUUUCUUCUUGUCCCUUGUCUAAUGUCUUUGGUGAGGUGAUUUAUAACAUUGAGCAUCACUUUUGGUUCUUGUGAUCACAUGUAGGUUCAAUAGUAUAAAGUUCUAUACAAAAGCUUGACGUUAUUAGCAUAUUGGUUGAUAAUUCAUGAUUUGUUUUUUUGCACCAGAACUACUAUCUCAAUUUGUGUUUAUUUUAAUUGAAGCAUAGCUUUAUGUUUCAUUGUAGUCUAAUAGUUUGAUCAUUUUCUUACUUAAAUAAUAUUCAAGUUAUUUUUUUUCUUCCAAAUUGUAGUUGUUUUCACCAUGUUCGAUGGCCUUAGAUGAAACAAUGUAUUCUUUAAACAAUUGAAAAUUUUCUAAAAAAAUCAAUUGGUGAGUUUUGGGUUCAAUCAAUUGAGACAUAGGAUAUAUAUUUAUAUAUUUACUCGAUGAUUUCUUUUUCUGCACUAGAACUACUAUCUCAAUUUGUGUUUAUUUUAAUUGAAGCAUAGCUUUAUGUUUCUUUGUAUUCUAAUAGUUUGAUCAUUUUCUUAUUUAAAUAAUAUCUAAGUUAUUUGUUUUCUUCCAAACUGUGAUUGUUUUUACCAUGCUCGAUGGCUUUAGCUGAAACAAUGUAUUCUUUAAACAAUUGAAAGUUUUCAAAAAAAAUCAAUUGGUGAGAUUUUGGUUCAAUCAAUUGAGACAUAGGAUAUAUAUUUAUAUAUUUACUCGAUGAUUUCCUUUUCUGCACCAGAACUACUAUCUCAAUUUGUGUUUAUUUUAAUUGAAGCAUAGCUUUGUGUUUCAUUGCAGUCUAAUAGUUUGAUCAUCUUGGUGCUCUUAUUUAUAACUAUAUUAUCUUUUCUUUUCUUUCCAAGUACUAUGGACUUAGAAUCUUAUGCAUAUUACCUACACAGUGCAUGUCUUUAUAUGUGUAUAUAUGUAUAUUAAUUUCUCGAUGUUUAUUGUAUAUUUGCUAAUGUGCUAUGAAUGAUUGGUCAUUUGGUUUAUUAAUGUCUGUGAUUUCAUAAACUAACUAGCUUGAGCACUUUUAAAUUGAGACUGACAGGUAUGCAUUCCUUAGUUUAAAGAAUUAAGACUAACUACUUAAGCCAUGAGGCUAUCCAAUUUGAUAAGAAAAAUACAACUUUUAUAUAAAUUAUUUUUGUGACUGAAAACCACAAUCAUCCUUUUUAUUUAUUCUGCAACCUCAAGUUCUCUAUUUAUUUUAGUUUUGGUUUAACUUUAAUGGUGUUUAUUCUGUAUUUUAGGCUAAAACUCUACUUGAAUAUUUAAGAGAACCAAGACAAUUAUAUAAGAGAACCAAGGCAACACAAAAUUCUUCUUCAAGUUGUUGGGUAUUAUUUUCUUUCUUGCUUGUAAGAAUUAUGUACAGUGAGGAUUUGAUGUAUUAUUUACAUCGAGAAUAAUGAAUUUUUAUUGAGAAUUAUAAUGAAUUUUCAUCGAGACUUAUUUAGUCUCAUGGGGAUUUGAUGUAUUAUUUACAUUUCAAUUGUAUGAAUAAAUGUUGUAUGUAUAUGAAUUUUUAUUGUGAUAAAUAUAAUUUUUUUUACAAA